Molecule: ribosomal RNA, 253 nt
Filed under: uncultured bacterium
Lineage: Bacteria
Description: partial 16S ribosomal RNA
Rfam family: Bacterial small subunit ribosomal RNA
Source: RNAcentral
UACGAAGGGGGCUAGCGUUGCUCGGAAUCACUGGGCGUAAAGCGCACGUAGGCGGAUUGUUAAGUCAGGGGUGAAAUCCUGGAGCUCAACUCCAGAACUGCCUUUGAUACUGGCGAUCUUGAGUCCGGGAGAGGUGAGUGGAACUGCGAGUGUAGAGGUGAAAUUCGUAGAUAUUCGGAAGAACACCAGUGGCGAAGGCGGCUCACUGGACCGGCAUUGACGCUGAUGCGCGAAAGCGUGGGGAGCGAUCCGG